This 26-nucleotide unclassified non-coding RNA is filed under the name Mus musculus (house mouse). Its description in RNAcentral is "oocyte_clustered_small_RNA8988". Lineage: Eukaryota; Metazoa; Chordata; Mammalia; Rodentia; Muridae. The record is from RNAcentral.
UAGAGGCUCAGAAUAACCACACAGAG